This 464-nucleotide ribosomal RNA is filed under the name uncultured bacterium. RNAcentral describes it as "partial 16S ribosomal RNA". It matches the Rfam family "Bacterial small subunit ribosomal RNA", at positions 28 to 507 of the family's 1533-position model. The record is from RNAcentral.
GACGAACGCUGGCGGCGUGCUUAACACAUGCAAGUCGAACGGAAAGGCCCUGCUUGCAGGGUACUCGAGUGGCGAACGGGUGAGUAACACGUGGGUGAUCUGCCCUGCACUUCGGGAUAAGCCUGGGAAACUGGGUCUAAUACCGGACAGGAGCCAUUUUUAGUGUGAUGGUUGGAAAGUUUUUUCGGUGUAGGAUGAGCUCGCGGCCUAUCAGCUUGUUGGUGGGGUAAUGGCCUACCAAGGCGGCGACGGGUAGCCGGCCUGAGAGGGUGGCCGGCCACAUUGGGGAUGAGAAAGGGCCCAGAACCCUACGGGGGGCAGAAGUGGGGAGAUUUGCAGAAUGGGCGAAGGCCAGAUGCGAUGACCCUGGGUGGGGAAUGAGGGCCUUCGUGUUAUAAACGCCUUUCCGUGGGAGCAGACCUUUUUUGAGCGUAACCUAAAAGAAAGGCACGGCCAAACUCGUG